This 497-nucleotide ribosomal RNA is filed under the name uncultured bacterium. RNAcentral's name for it is "partial 16S ribosomal RNA". It matches the Rfam family "Bacterial small subunit ribosomal RNA", at positions 28 to 507 of the family's 1533-position model. The record is from RNAcentral.
GACGAACGCUGGCGGCGUGCCUAAUACAUGCAAGUUGAGCGAUGAAGCUUGGUGCUUGCACCAAUUUGAAGAGCAGCGAACGGGUGAGUAACGCGUGGGGAAUCUGCCUUUGAGCGGGGGACAACAUUUGGAAACGAAUGCUAAUACCGCAUAACAACUUUAAACAUAAGUUUUAAGUUUGAAAGAUGCAAUUGCAUCACUCAAAGAUGAUCCCGCGUUGUAUUAGCUAGUUGGUGAGGUAAAGGCUCACCAAGGCGAUGAUACAUAGCCGACCUGAGAGGGUGGUCGGCCACAUUGGGAAUGAGACACGGCCCAAACUCCUACGGGAGGCAGCAGUAGGGAAUCUUCGGCAAUGGACGAAGGUCUGACCGAGCAACGCCGCGGGAGUGAAGAAGGUUUUCGGAUCGUAAAACUCUGUUGGUAGAGAAGAACGUUGGUGAGAGUGGAAAGCUCAUCAAGUGACGGUAACUACCCAGAAAGGGACGGCUAACUACGUG